Molecule: ribosomal RNA, 253 nt
Filed under: uncultured bacterium
Lineage: Bacteria
Description: partial 16S ribosomal RNA
Rfam family: Bacterial small subunit ribosomal RNA
Source: RNAcentral
UACGUAGGGGGCAAGCGUUAUCCGGAAUUACUGGGUGUAAAGGGAGCGUAGACGGUAAUGUAAGUCUGGAGUGAAAGGCGGGGGCCCAACCCCCGGACUGCUCUGGAAACUAUGUUACUAGAGUGCAGGAGAGGUAAGCGGAAUUCCUAGUGUAGCGGUGAAAUGCGUAGAUAUUAGGAGGAACACCAGUGGCGAAGGCGGCUUGCUGGACAGUAACUGACGUUGAGGCUCGAAAGCGUGGGGAGCAAACAGG